This 1009-nucleotide unclassified non-coding RNA is filed under the name Portunus trituberculatus (swimming crab). RNAcentral's name for it is "uncharacterized LOC123518801, transcript variant X1". The record is from RNAcentral. Lineage: Eukaryota; Metazoa; Arthropoda; Malacostraca; Decapoda; Portunidae.
UGAAACAAUGGUAGCACUUAACAUAGCACCACAAAAUUAUAUAGCACGUUGGAGUACUCUUGCUGUACACUCUGACGUAGCAGGCCACGAAGGAAGGAGAAUAGUGGCAUACGUACAGUAUAUGUAUGUGCCUCCGCAUACAGCUGUAUGAACGUGCUAAACCUUCAGAUUAUGAUAAUGUUGCAUUGAUUCAAAAGGCUUUCUAACCUCUCACAUAGACCUGAGAUUAAAGCCUGAAGGAAAAAGACUAGAAUGUGACGUUAAAUUCAAAGUCCAGUUACACCAUAUUGCUUCACGUCUCGAGGCUUCGGAGCUCCUUAUUGAACAUUUGUUUCGAACUUCGGCUCGAGCAGAGGCCGGCAGACAGCAGCGGAUUCCUUGGCAGACAGAGCGGUUCCUUGAGGCAGAACGGUAAAUGGCUGUGUACGUGUGGUUCCUUCUGGGUCUACGUUCAGAGUGGCCACACCCAUCCAGACGCCAUGGUUUCCUUCACAUCAACUUCAAGAAUGACAUGGUGACGUUACUUGCUCAACUUCAAGAAUGACAUGGUUACGUUACUUGCUCAUAUCUUUGGCCUUGUGUAUGUGCUGAAUGUAAGGAUAAUCAAUGAACUCUUCUGUGAUUAUUAGAGCAACCAGUCUUCUGUACACCCCGGCUAUUCGACAGUCCCAAGUGAGGGCUAGGAAUGCAGGAAGAAAAUGUCCCAUGGAAUGCAUCCUCCAAGAUAAAUAUACUUUAUAAGAGUAGUUUAUCUAUUUAUAUUAUCUUUUGUUAUGUUUCUGUGCAAUAAUUAUUGUUUAUAUAUAUCUUUUCUUACCUGAAAACAUGUAAAAAAAUAAAAGGGGGUGCUCUUUUUAGGAAGGCUGGAACAGAUUAAUGACAUCUCAGUGCAUUUCAAUGGGAAAAAUUGUUUUGAGAUACGAGCUCCGUCACAGAACGAAUUACAGGCAACCCCCGUUUAACGAAGGUUCACACAAUGAAAUUUCGCUACAACGAAGGUUUCAUUUUA